CCCAGCCCUGAAGGACUGGGCUAUUGUCUUUCGUCCCUGCCGGGACU
This 47-nucleotide small RNA is filed under the name Pirellula sp. SH-Sr6A. Its description in RNAcentral is "Acido-Lenti-1 RNA". It matches the Rfam family "Acido-Lenti-1 RNA". The record is from Rfam by way of RNAcentral. Lineage: Bacteria; Pseudomonadati; Planctomycetota; Planctomycetia; Pirellulales; Pirellulaceae.